Molecule: ribosomal RNA, 273 nt
Filed under: uncultured Pseudomonas sp.
Lineage: Bacteria; Pseudomonadati; Pseudomonadota; Gammaproteobacteria; Pseudomonadales; Pseudomonadaceae
Description: partial 16S ribosomal RNA
Rfam family: Bacterial small subunit ribosomal RNA
Source: RNAcentral
GUCCUUAGUUACCAGCACGUAUGUGGGCACUCUAAGGAGACUGCCGGUGACAAACCGGAGGAAGUGGGGAUGACGUCAAGUCAUCAUGGCCCUUACGGCCUGGGCUACACACGUGCUACAAUGGUCGGUACAAAGGGUUGCCAAGCCGCGAGGUGGAGCUAAUCCCAUAAAACCGAUCGUAGUCCGGAUCGCAGUCUGCAACUCGACUGCGUGAAGUCGGAAUCGCUAGUAAUCGUGAAUCAGAAUGUCACGGUGAAUACGUUCCCGGGCCUU